GCCUGCGGCCACGCCACCCUGAACACGCCCGACGGCUGAUCUCGGAAGCUAAGCAGGGUCGGGCCUGGUUCGUACUUGGAUGGGAGACCACCUAGGAAGACCAGGUGCUGUAGGCG
RNAcentral lists this ribosomal RNA (116 nucleotides) under Pteropus alecto (black flying fox). The record is from RNAcentral. Lineage: Eukaryota; Metazoa; Chordata; Mammalia; Chiroptera; Pteropodidae.